AGUUAGUCUGUGUGAAGGAAGGAAGAACCAGCAAUCUCCUUUUCCCAGGCUCGUCCCAGGAAGAGGUAGGAACACGUUGGAGAGAGGUCUUACUUGUGUGAGUCAUUUGAGGAGGAAACCAGAACAGCAAAACCAGUGGGAAGAGCUGAAGAAGCCUGAGUGAGGAGCAAAGCAAGACAGAUCUACUCAAAGAGAUAACCUGAGCUGUAUGGAGAUGCAAUGGAAAGGAUUUAAUGUAGGAAUUUUAGAAGUAUUCAGCUGAUUUGAUCCAUUCCUGGAAGAGCACGAAAAGGUGACUGAAAUGUUGCUACAAGGACUACUUCAUCCUUUUUGAAAACAUAGAGAGUGAAUCUCUUCUCCUGAACCAGCAAUUU
Molecule: long non-coding RNA, 374 nt
Organism: Serinus canaria (Common canary)
Lineage: Eukaryota; Metazoa; Chordata; Aves; Passeriformes; Fringillidae
Exons: 3
Source: RefSeq, a predicted model, not a curated record